AAUAAGUACAGUUUUAUACUAUUCAUAUCCAAUGUUUGAUCAUCUUAUUUAAAAAAUUUUAUGAUUAAUAUUUUUAUUGUUAUUAGAUGAUAAAAUAUGAAUAUUUCUUUAUCUGUGACUAAUUUUUUUGAAAAAAAUCAUAAAAUUUCCAAAUAAGAUGGACGGCCAAACGUUGGAUACGCAUACCAACGCUGUAUUUAUU
This is a non-coding RNA of Oryza glaberrima (African rice), 202 nucleotides long. The record is from Rfam. Lineage: Eukaryota; Viridiplantae; Streptophyta; Magnoliopsida; Poales; Poaceae.